GCUUCUUCCUCAACCGCGCCUAUGAUUUGCUUGCUUCCACUUCUCAGGGUGACUUCCUGUGAAGACCUGUCAUCGGCUUGGAGUUCAGAUGUCCAGGUCCUCCGAGGGGCAGCAUGUGCGUGGAAAACAAGCGUCGGUGUUGCCUGGGGUGCGCCUUGUGCUGGUGGAUAGCACAGGAUGGAAGUUUCAAACUUGAAAGUGUGUCAAGGAAAUACGCGCUUCACAUCCUGAGCCCCUUCUCUGAGGCGUAGUGGACUUUGGUUAUAUUGCUGGAGGUCUGCUUCCAGCCUGAGCAGCCACUCCCAAUCCCAGUGGACGUGCAGCGAAGAAGGCUUCAGUUGGGGAUGGCUUUGUGUCCCCUAGCUGUGAAUCCGUUGAAGGCUGUACUUCGUCUUUGUACUUGGAAUGAUCGCCUGCUUGAGCUGUCUUGAGGAAUUGGCCUUCCUUCCGUGGGGGAGUUGCAGUGGUUUGCCGGCCGCCUGCCGGGAUGGCAGAUGUCCAUUUCUUCGGAGGGUCAGAGCUUCUGCAGAUCCUGGAAUCAUUGUGUCCUGCUGUGCUCCCCGUCCUGGUGGAUGUCUCCAAAUGCUUGGAGAGUGGAGUCCUGGAGCUCGGUGAUGCGUCCCUGGCUUGUGCGGGGUGCUGGUGGCAUUUCAGGUCAUCCCGUUGCCCACUGCCCAUCAGUCAUCCUGGGGCGUUCCGUUUUCAGGGUUUGGGCAUGUGCUUGGAUCGAUGAUGAGUUUCUCAUAUAAACAUUCCUUGGAAAGCUGAACAAAAUGAGUGAAAACUCACAACCGUCGUUCUCAUCGGUACUGAGGUCCAGCACUUUGCCACUACCACGGCCUGCUGAGUGAUCUUCAAGUUGAACGGGUCCCCAUUCCUCCUAUCUUCCAGGGCACCAGCUUGGAAAGUGUCGCAGGAUACUUGCGUUAGACAAAUUUCCUCAGCCCAGUGGACGUACCUGGGUGUGUUGCUAGUUGAUCGGCCUCCCUUUGAGGCAUGACUUCUAUCAGAUGAGGCGUCAGUGUCGUAGACGUGAGGGAGAGUGUUUGUUGCCUGCGUAGGGUAUCCUUUCAGGAGGAAGAGUGUUUCCCUUGGAGUCAGGGAGACUUAGGUUCUCUCGGCCGCUGUUUUCAAGGAGCAGGAGAGUUCUUGGUUUUUCCACCAAAGCCUAAAAUGGGAGGCCUUAGACACACGUUGGGCAUGAAUUUCUGUUGGCAGUUGGAAUAGAGGGAGGUGUUUGAGGUAAUGGAGAAGGAAGACCAAUGGGUGAUGUUUUGCUGAAUGCUAUCUAAUAGCCCUCCAAUCAGCAACCAGUCACUAGGAAUCCCUACCUUGGCAUGUUUACAAGUAAGAGAGAGUCCAUGUUGUGAAAGCUGAUGAAUUGGGCCUAAUU
Long non-coding RNA from Carlito syrichta (Philippine tarsier), 1393 nucleotides. RefSeq lists it as uncharacterized. The transcript has 4 exons. Lineage: Eukaryota; Metazoa; Chordata; Mammalia; Primates; Tarsiidae. The record is from RefSeq and is a predicted model, not a curated record.